Molecule: transfer RNA, 73 nt
Filed under: Stegodyphus mimosarum
Lineage: Eukaryota; Metazoa; Arthropoda; Arachnida; Araneae; Eresidae
Rfam family: tRNA
About the family: Transfer RNA (tRNA) molecules are approximately 80 nucleotides in length. Their secondary structure includes four short double-helical elements and three loops (D, anti-codon, and T loops). Further hydrogen bonds mediate the characteristic L-shaped molecular structure. tRNAs have two regions of fundamental functional importance: the anti-codon, which is responsible for specific mRNA codon recognition, and the 3' end, to which the tRNAs corresponding amino acid is attached (by aminoacyl-tRNA synthetases). tRNAs cope with the degeneracy of the genetic code in two manners: having more than one tRNA (with a specific anti-codon) for a particular amino acid; and 'wobble' base-pairing, i.e. permitting non-standard base-pairing at the 3rd anti-codon position.
Source: Rfam by way of RNAcentral
CCUUUCGUGGUGUAAUGGUCAGCACACUCGGCGCGUAUUCGAGAGGUCCGAGGUUCGAGUCCCGGUGAGGGCA